Molecule: non-coding RNA, 11034 nt
Organism: Podarcis lilfordi (Lilford's wall lizard)
Lineage: Eukaryota; Metazoa; Chordata; Lepidosauria; Squamata; Lacertidae
Source: the annotation of a GenBank genome assembly
GGCGUAGCAACAGCAGCAGCAGGUGGAGGUCGUGGGGCGGCCGCGCCAGGGAAAUCUCUUGGCUGGCUUGGCUUCCCUGCUUGAGAAAGACAAACCGGGUAGGGAGCCCUCACCAUUACUCAAAAGGUGUAUUUCCCACCAUGUGGCAGAUAAGGUACUACAGUACACGGUGUAUAUUGAAUUUUAGGGGGGGAAAGGAGAGUAGCCUGAGCAAGUGAUGCCCCCCUCCUUGCAGGGCCAGAUUUAAGUUUGAUGAGGCCCUAAGCUGCUGGUCAGAAGGUCAGUAGCCCUAAGCUACUUGCCUAUCAGAAGGUUGGCGGUUCGAAUCCCCGCGACGGGGUGAGCUCCUGUUGCUCGGUCUCUGCUCCUGCCAACCUAGCAGUUCAAAAGCACGUCAAAGUGCAAGUAGAUAAAUAGGUACCGCUCUGGCAGGAAGGUAAACGGCGUUUCCAUGCGCUGCUCUGGUUUGCCAGAAGCAGCUUAGUCAUGCUGGCCACAUGCUGGCCACGGAAGCUGUACACCGGCUCCCUCGGCCAGUAAAGCGAGAUGAGCGCUGCAACCCCAGAGUCGGCCACGACUGGACCUAACAGUCGGGGGUCCCUUUACCUUUACCUUAAGCUACUGAAGGUAACAGGGCCCUUUCUAUGUCUAGCUGUCCUUAGUCAACAACGAAUUGUCGCUGUUUUUUGUGCUGAAUAUUUUAGGGAGCAGGCAGGGCCCAUUACUUACACCAUAAGAGCCUACACAACAUGUAUGUAGAUUUUAUUUUAUUUGUUUUUUUAUCUUAUAUUUUGGAAAUGUACACCCAUUUUUUUCCUUUAAAUUUUUUUGGGGCCCAAGAGAGUGGGGCCCUAAGCUGUAGCUUGUUUAGUUUAUACAUAAAUCUGGCACUGCCUCAUUGUAUGAAGCCUCCCACAGAAGAAUUUGCUAAUCUAUCCAUUUUAUCCAUUUAGUACAUUUAUAGCCUGGCUUUCCUCCAAGGUGCCAGGGCUGUGUUAGCCAUUAAGCCAGUGGUUCCCCACCUUUUUGUGGCCAUGCCCCACCUAAGCAUCUCUAAAAUCCUGAUGCCCGCCCCGCCAUGACAUAUACUGUAAAUUUUAUUAUUCAAAAAGUGAAUUAUUCACGUGGAGGAAGCCUAAAAGGCCAUUAACUGUUAAUAACUCAAUUCUUAAAUUGCCCCCCUUAAAAAUCAAAUUGCUCCCCUGUGGUGCGUGUGCCCCACGUUGGGAACCACAGCAUUAAGCAAAAUAAUGACGCACGUGCUUAGGGCAUCAAGGGAAGGGGGAAAUUUCUGCUGGAAAAUUUCCAAAGACCAUAAGGUACAGCUGAACAGGUUCCACAUAAAAAGGCUCCCACAAUAUGUGCGUCAUAGGUUCAGUGCAGCAAAAAAUGCAAAAACAAGAUUCAUUCAUGCUGAACUUUAUAAAGUGAUUGCAGAAGACAGUAUUUUACGGUUUAUUAUUGUUUAUAUUUUGAAUUAGAUCUACAUGGGUGCACCAAAUUUUUUUAAGUGCUAUGGGCCUCUAAAGGUCUUAAUCCAGCCCUGUGAGUUGCUCAUAGAAUCAUAGAAUUUUAGAAUUGGAAGGGAUAGUGAGUAUCAUCUAUUUCAAUGCAGGAGUCCCAUGCGGGGACAGAACCUGCUCAAGGCAUGGCGCUGUGGUUCUGCCCCCUCCAUUUUAUACUCACAACAGCAGCCUUGUGUCUGCGGCAGGUCCAGUUGAGAAACAGUGGGUGCUUCAAGACUGUCCCUAUUUUCUGGGUGGAAUUCAAUCAGAUACCAGCAAAUUCAGGACACACAAAUUGGGUUGGGAGGAGGACUUGCACAACAAACCUGCUCGCUCCCCCCACCACCAAAAUUGGACUUUUUUUGCAAUGAAAGCAAUGGGAAAUUGCACUGGGAAAUGUGGAUUAGCACUUGCUUUGAUGCAACAUCAUCUAUUGACCCCGCAACCAAAUCAGCAUGAAUGGUCAUUAAACAGCCAACAUCAUCUAAUCUCUGCACACAAGGAUGAAUGCGCAGUAAGCAAGUUGUCUGAAAGCACUCAGUGACUGGCACAAGGACAAGCAGAGAAAAAUAUGAGAUAAAAUAAAGGGGGGAAGUACCAUUUCAUUUUCUUACUGAACUGUUAUUUUAACUUCAUAAUAAAGUCCUGGGAGAAUUUUCUUUUUCAAAGGACACCCAGAGAGCUUCAUGGCUGAGUGGGGAUUUUAUGCUGAGAAUUGCUCUUCUCUCUCAUCUAACACUCCAGCCUUGGGCAUGGAACCUGUGACCCUCCAGAUAUUUUAGAAUAUAAGUUUCAUCAUCCCUGACCAGGCAGACUUGGACUGAUGAGAGCUGGAGUCCCACAGCAAAGUUUCCCUUGGGCAGUAAAAUGUCUUGGGUCAGCCUUGACUUCUGAGAAACUAGUAAUGAGGUGCAAGGACCAAUAACAGUCUGUGCUGUCAGUAUAAGGCAGCUUCCUACAUUCCUAGGCUCAUUUAGAUUAUAUAGAGAUAGUAAGGUUAUCACCUUUUGUUCCUGGGUCUUUAAAAGCUGCAUGACGGAAAUUCAGCAAGGGAACAAAAAGAGAGAGUUGAGACUCUGGUACACAGGGAGGUGGUUUACUAUGCCCAACACAUCUUGAGAAAGGACUUCUUCAGGGGAAGCAUGAGACAAAAUUGUAGACAGACGUGACACCAGUGUACUUUCUGUAUCCUGUUUUCAGCUGGAUAUUGAUUCUUCUUCUGUCUACCAUUUUGUUUCACGAUGUGCCCCUGAAGACUUUUGUCAACAUGCAUUUGGCCUAAUAAACCACUUCCCUGCAUACAUGUCUGUUGUUUUAACUCUUUUUCUGAAUUGACGUUCUUCCACCAUUUAUUCUUCUGUCUGCUGUCCUGAACAUGCCGUUGUCGUCCUGAGCAUCCAUAGUGGAUGAAGUGACCAUUUUACCGUAUUUUUCGGUCUAUAAGAUGCACCAGACCAUAAGACGCACCUAGUUUUUGGAGGAGGAAAACAAGAAAAAAAAUAUUCUGAAUCCCAGAAGCCAGGACAGCAAGCAGGAUCGCAGCUCAGCGAUCCCACUUGCUGUCCUGGCUUAUGGGAUAGCCGUGCGCAGCCUCUCCUGGGCAGCGGCAUGAAGGCCCCCAAGAGCCGCACACACGCUCCACGCAGCUCUUUAAAGGGAGCGCUGAGCAGAGCCUCCCGCCUGUAUCCGCUCCAUAAGACGCACACACAUUUCCCCUUAAUUUUUGGGAGGGGAAAAGUGCAUCUUAUAGAGCGAAAAAUACGGUAAUUUCUGUGUAAGGUGGCUGUUAAAGGCCUGUAAAACACAACCAUUGAACCCCUCACCAGCUGCAGUACAUGUCCAUCAUAUUUGUUAAAUGAAACAUGGAUUGUGGUUGCAGGAGUGGCAUCCCUGAGACUUUGUGAAUAUAGCUUGCACCAUUGUUUGUGAUGAGGAUGCGAGACUCUUCCCCCCUUGCUUAACCACAUUCCAUUAUUUGUCCAAGCAGGCUGUGCAGUUUUGUGGUGUAUAUAUAUAUAUAGAGAGAGAGAGAGAGAGUUGUUGGACAUUGUACACACCCUCAUUGUCUGUCCGGGUUUGAUCUCUAUUUGAUGCACGGUGGGGUACAAUGCCAAUCACACAGGCAUUGUUAGGACAUGGGUUUUUUUUGUUCUCACCUUGUAAGUAUUGAAAAUUUCCUUCCUCUAAAAUUCUGUAUUUCUUUCUGAAUUUUAAACUACAUUCAGCCUGGUAGCAUCAGAGAUGUCUCCUUCUUCUUUACUUGUUAGGCUAUGUGCACAUUAGCGGUUUGAAACACAGCAAGGUCAUUUCCCUCCACUCAAGUUUCAAGUGGCAUUUGCAUGUUGCUGUACACACCAGAGGGGUUGGGAAUGUCUUCGCCUGGUGCAUAUUACCCAUUUGCUUUCCCCAAUCCUGAACCCACCCCCAAAGCAACUUUUGUUCAUGCAGCUGUGAUCCGCACAUGCGCAGUGGCUACCUCAAAUAUACACACCUCAGCCAAACUGCAGUGAAUGUGGCUGACAUUUUCAAAUCAGAUGGAAGCUGGUUUGAGGAGGGACACAUCAAACAGCACUGUGUCUCAAGAAACUAUGCAUUGUGGCUAACCCAGAGGUGGAUAUAGGGCUGGGUGACUGGUGCACCUGCACUCAGCUGAGGCAGCACCAUCUCAAAGCCCAGGAAGUGCAGAGCUUUGGGAAGGAGGUGUAAGGGCUCUGACAGGGUCCUAGAGGUCUUCUGCCUCCUUUCCAAAGCCUAGUUAGUGAUUUUCCAGCUUUGGGAAUGGGGUGGGAGGGCUCUAGCAUCCUGCCAGAGCCCUUCUACCUCCUUCCCUGCCAUUGGGAAGGCAGCACAAGGGCUGGGGGGGGAGUUGCCUCUCACAGAGCAUCAUAGUACCCAACUCUGCCACAUGGCUUCAGACCCCUUCAGUGGGAGCACACUGGAACCAGAGUAAAUAGCAGCGCAUAGACAACCGUAGUUAAUUCCUCAGCUUAGGUCUGUGUAUAUUCUGCAGUUCCAUGUCGUCAUAAGAAAUGCGGAAUGCAGCAUUGGGCACAAAACUCAAGAGGCUCAGCAGGUAGGCUUCCAAGUUUAUGAGGAAUUCCUGGUGAAACUGCCAUAAUUAGAGAGAGGCUUAGCAGGAUUUCUAACUUCCAAGGUCCAAUUGGACCAGAUAGUGCAGCUAUCUGAAUGAAAAAAGCUACAUUGCAUUAUUUUUUAUGGUGCUUUACACUUUAUCGUUGAACACCAACCACCCUGAUAUUUUAUUAUGUGGUGGUACAGAAAUACCUUAUAAACAAACGAUGUAAAUUAAGGCUAGACUAGAAGGCGCUUGUGGUCCCUUCCAAUGCUAUGAUCCCUUCCCAUUCUAUGAUUCUAUAUGAGAAAUAUGCAUAAUUUGUUUUGGUUUUUGAAUGAAACUUUCUUGGUGCAGAAUUUCAGGUAGAUUUUGUUACUCUUGUUUUUUUGCUGCAGUGUACCACUGUAACGGAGUUAGUGUGUUGUGCUCCAAUUACAAUGACAUCCUUCAGACUGAUGCAGCUCUCUAUUUUUGAACAGAGUUCUUAAAUUAUCAUUGUUCAGCCGGUUUAAUUUGAGUUGGCUACAUUUCCCCAUCCCUUUAGUACAUGGAAGAAAUGCCCAGCAGGUUGUAAAAUGAGACCGAUAGACCAAUGCUAGUUUAUUUUCAGCGCAGCUUUCGAUUAUCUGAAACCAUUUCACAAUUUGUGGAGAGUGGGCAAGGAGGCAGGAAACAGAACCUCUCACUGCCUCUGAGUGUGUAGACAAAGGGCUGUUUUACAAAUAACAAGGAUUAAUCCAGAAUAUCACGGAGAAGAGCUUCCAAAUUAUGCAUGCAGUUGUGGGCUGGUGUGCCCAAUGGCACUGUUAGGGCAGAAAGUUGGAAGACCAACAGCGGGUGGAGCCAGAGCCAAUGACAAGCAGCCCCCCAUUGGUUGUAAGUAAGAUGGCAGGCUGGCUGAAUCCAGACUGAGGUUGGUGGGGCAGUGCCCCACUUGCCCCCAGUGGACCGGCCUCCACUAUAUGCAAAUAAAACUUCCAGGUAUAGUUUAACUCUAGCAUAUCUCUUAAAAAUUAUGCACCGUGGUCAAAGGACUGGACGACUAGUAAAGCAAGCAUAAUUGGUGUAAGUGCACAUACUAGUAAGUGGGUCAAGCUCUCUUGCACCUGGGCUAAUAUGAGCCUUAGAAAAAUAUAUUUAUUUAAAGAUGUAUCCCACUAAAAAAGGUUCCCAAAGUGGCUUACAGAUACAUAUUUUAAAAAAGAGCCUACCCUCAGGGCUACAGUGUUAGACGGCAAAGGAAAAUGGAUUGGGAGGAAGGAGGAAAUAAGCAAACUCAGGCACAAGUUUUUACUUAGGAAUGAAAUGUACGUUAGUAAGACACGAGACAGAAGAGAACCGCUGAGCAAGCAGGAUAACACCCAGAAAAGAAAAUGCUGACUGUUACACACAAGCAGCAGUGAGGGGAGCUGCAGCAGAUUUUUCACAAGCUCUCUGUAAAAAACAAGACAUUCAUAGACAAGGAGAACACCUUAAUGCAAGGUGGUCUUGAUUUGAUAUUGUGAAUGCGAGAACACAAAUGUCCCGUUUCUUGGUGUUUACUGUUGUAACAGAAAACAAUAAAAAAUACUUUUUUAAAUGAAAGUGAGGCUGAUACAUCAACAUAAUUCUGUUUGUAAGGUGGGCACCCUGCCUUACCAUACUAGGUACCAAACCAGAGGAAAGGACAGGGAUAGAUGGAGGAACUCCUGUUAUAUGCAACAAAUCUCUUAUUUAAAAAGACCUGCCCCCGCAGCAGCAUGGACUCACAUGCUGCCAGAGAAGGUUUGCAGAUGGCUGAUGUAAGGUUACAUGUUCUCUCGCUUCCUUGACUAGGAGUUUAGUAAGAAGGGGGUUGUGCAUGGAGAAUUGCAUGUCCUUGCGCGGACGUCUGAACCCAAUUUCUCCCUCGUGCAAAAGAUUAUUUAAGGUAGAAAGGGCAACACCACCUUGAAUGGUGAAGGAUUGAGAGUUGAAUCAGAAGCCUCACUGAAUGCACAGCAACUGAAGAUGCAUCUCAUUAGUUACAGCAUGGUGCUGAUAAUGCAAAGAUUGAGAGUUCGAUCUCUAUAUGGGGCAGCUGCAUAUUCCUGCCUUGCAGGGGGCUGGACUAGAUGAUCCUCAGGGUCCCUUCCAACUCUAAAAUUCUAUGUUUCCAUCAUUCAUCUUAAUGUGCAUUCAUUGCUUUUGCAAUGCGAUGUGCCAAUAAACAGCAUCUACACUGGGGUGCAAGCCAAGAACCCAUAUACUGUAUGUGACUGCAGAGAUGAUGGGAAAUGAAUAGGACAUAUUUUUUUUAAAAGCUGCAAAGCAAAUUAUGGUUUGUUUGCUGGACCUCCAAGUAGAAUUCAAAACUAUUAUCUUUAAAAAUGUGUCUUAGUUCUUCAAACGUCCCCCUUUGUUGUUUCUUUCCCCUCUCCUGUCGGCCGUAAAACCUGAAAAUCUCCCCACCUUUACAUUGUAAGUCCAUCCUCUCCUGCUUCAAAAUCCUUAGUUAUAAUUGGAGAAAGAAGUAUUUCUGAAGAGAAACACUGUUAGUCACUUCUGUUUAUUAGCAGGAUUUAUAUACUGGAUUUAAAGCACUCUGGGUUGGAUCCAGAGGAGCUUUUCUAUAUGUCAGUGUCUUUGAAUCACAAAGGGACUUAAGUUUUUUUAAACCUUUUUUAAAAAAAAUUUAAGUGUUGUAUGACGAAAGGGAAACUAAGGCUGUGUACACACACAUUUCCCUCAAUGAAUUCUGGGCAUUGUAGUUUACGCCUCACAGAAUUGCAAUCUCCCUGCAAACAACGAUCAGAAUUUUUAGAGGCAAAGAAUGCACCUUAAAUACAUGGUGUGCACAGCCUAAAUCCAAAAUAUAUGAUUGCAUUUCUCAAAAAGCAUGUGCAAGGGGAAGCAUGAGAGCUGCCAGAGCUUGCCUACUCCAACAUUGCAUGAACUGUUCUACUAUUGCUUACACCCGGGUUUCCCAAACUUGGGUCUCCAGCUGUUUUUGGACUACAAUUCCCAUCAACCCUGACCACUGGUUCUGCUAGCUAGGGAUGAUGGGAGCUGUAGUCCAAAAACAGCUGGAGACCCAUGUUUGGGAAACCUUGGCUUACACAAGCAUUUGUAGAAUACUAUCGCUGGCUAUUUUCCAUAUACUCCAUUCUUUGGAUCGAGCAAUCGUCCCUGCAAAUUAUGCACGUAUCUGAACUCCCUGCCAAACCACAUCCAUUGGCCUCAAAGUCUGAUUUCUACUUGCAACAAGCAAGGCUACAUAAUCCUUUCUCAGCUCAGCAUUCUCACACCUUGGCGAAGGAAGGAAACAAAGGAGAAAGGAAAACCACAAAGAUACCCAUUGCAUAGGGCGAACUGCCCAUGUCAUACAAUAGUGCAGGAAUAUGAAAUGAACUCAGCUCAGACAGAUUCAAAAUUGAGCAAGUUUCAUGUGUAGGUAGAUCUUGUCAAUGAGUUUCUGACUUCCUGACAGCUCGGGAUAGUUCUGCGCUAUAAAUUAAAAAGCACAUCUCAAGUGUAGAAGCAUACAGGUGACAAAGCAGCAGUUUUUUUAAAAUCCCCAAGUAUACCUAUAUGGAAAUUUCUGGGAUAGCACCACCCAGUGGCAGAUAGACUCUCGCACAAAGCACAGCGUGUCAACCCUGGGACCUUCAAAUUUGUACUACAUUGUGUGUUUGUUCAUGUGACUAAUUCCAAGGAAUUAUUCUGAAGGCUUGAUCAGCACCCUUGUUCCUUGACAUACAAUUGACUUACAAGAAUACUCCUGUGAGUCAGCUACUCUUAAGCCGGGAAACGAUCUCAUAUCCAUGGUUUACCCGAGCCCUGCAAACUGAUCUAGAAAACAUUGAAGGUUCACCAGAAAAGCAGCCUUAUUUUAUUUGCAGGGCACCGGGAAGGGGGGUGGGUACAGACCCAGAGAGGCAUUCACCUCUAACUGGGAUUGGCUUUUACAGCAGCACAAGCCAAAAACCCAGGGUUUAACUGCAACCAUUCUACUCCCUACAGUUCUCUAACGGUAGCCUGUGCCCAAAUGGAAUCCUGAUCCUGAGCUUGCUCUGAACAGUAAUUGUACUCAUUCAGAUGUCAAUAUAUGCACAGGGGGAAAAGACGCAGGAUAGAACCCUACAGCAAAAUGGACCAAACUUGAAGUUAUAAGGUACAUGUUCCAACAGGUUGUAUAGAAGAUAAAGUGUUGCAAAAACUUUUUUCUUCUUUGGUGAUCACUCACCACUACAGGAUGAAUGGUAUAUUACAGUACAGUGGAACCUCAAAUCCUUUCCCUUACAGUUGAUUUUAAUCUCGAAGGUCAUUUUGAGAUGCUCCCAGUCUCCAGUUCAAAAUAUUUAUAUUUUAUGUGCACUUACCUGGGAGUUAAGUCCAUUUGAACUCAAUGGGGAUUGCUUCCUCACAAACGUGGUCUGCAUUGAUAGCAUUGUUAGCCAUUGUUGAAGGAUAAAAUGUCCAUGCCUACUGCCUAGAAUUCUAAGAGCAUGCACUUAUCCUGUGUAUUUUAAUUACGGACAUUUAUACUGUAAUGUUUGUGUAAAUGGUUUUUAUCCCUGUAAACACUUAGAAGUCCAUUUUAGGUUUCAGUGUUAUAUAAUUUCUUCUCAAUCUGCUAACUACAUACUGUGCUGCUGAAAUGAGCAGCCCUUUUGUAUUUUAUCAUUCCUCACCACGCCCAACACACAUGCUCCAUCCGUCACUGGGCUCUUUUUUUGGCAGGGUCCCCUAUUAAUCUGAAAGCCUUGGGGCCUCCCUCUCAAACCUAUCUUAGGCAUGGAUGGUGUCACACUAUUUUAGCAAUGGAACUCACUUCUGAUCAUUGAAAAUUGAGGUGGUGGGUAAGAAAAACCAUCCGGGCAUGCGGUAGCAACUAAAGUAAUGUCUGCAGAGGUUAGUCACGUGCAGGACUGCACUUUUAUGUCAAUGGUGACCAUUUAGAGCACUGGUGGGGAAACUCGGGCCUGGAAGCCAAAUGAAUCCUGUCUCUCUCUCUCCCCCCAUGGAAAUCCUUUGAGUCACACUCCUUCAGGAACAGCACAUAAUAGGGUCACCAAACAUCACUCCUUCCUCAUCCUCCGUUAUCAGGGUUGGGUUUUUUAAAACGACUAACAGAUAGCACUAGUUUCAGGUAUCAAAAUAUCUUAUCUGUACCAAUGAACUUUCCUGUAAGCUCCUCCCCUUUCUUGUUCAAUAGGUACUCUCACCUCCAACACACUCAACCCCAGGCUUGCAGAAUAAGGUACAGUAAGCCCCCAAGUUAUGCGAGGGUUAUGUUGCAGGGAUCACACCUAAAGCCAAAAUUGCACAUGGUCAAAACACGCUGGCAGUCCCACCCGCCAUUGAAAUCAAGGUUCCCCCCAAACACCCUUUUUAUUUUUUGGCAAGCGUAUAAAGCUGAAUGUGCGCAAGUUACAGGCUUAUUGUAUUACACUUGCUCUCAGGUCCAGCUGUCCAACAUCCGCAACUUCUUUGAAACCCAAUCAGAGGUCCUUCUUUCUUGGGGAGACUCAUUUAUUCCUGUUUUCUCACCUCAAAAUCUCAGACCUCCCUAACCUCAUUACUUUCAACCAUUGCCCCAAAGUUUCCGCCUUUGAUUUUCAGCUAAAAACUUCCCCCAAAGCCCACUAACCAGAACUUACUUACUUUACAAGAGUUGGGUUGCAACUCAGCUUGCAUUGUAGAGAUAUACUUGCAAGCAAGGGGAAGAGAAACCGCCAAGCUUCCUAGCAGUGAUUCAGAGUUGUCAGCAUUUUAACUCCAUAUGCCAAUGCAUGGCCAAACUUGCCCCCCCAGCUGUUUUGGGACUACAGCAGGACCAAUGGUCAGGGAUGAUGGGAAUUGUAGUCCCAAAACGCCUGGAGAGCCAAGUAUGGCCAUGUAUGCCAUAUGCCAACACCUUACUCCUCAAAUUCCUUUUAAAAACAACCAGUUCUUAUCAGCAUCCAUUUUUCUCUUGGAAUACCACUUCCUGCCCUUCAGCCAAACCUCCUUCCACCCCUUUCCCUGACAACAUUCUGUUUUUUCCCAUGUGUUCCUAGGAAUGCUUCUAACAAUUACCUGUAUUGGUUUUAACUCUUAAGAUCAGACUAUAUAUUUAGUGUGCUGUUUUAUUGCUUAAUAUUUUUUUUAGUAAAUGUGCUACUUCCCUUUUGAGACAACAAGCUUAAUUCCCUUCUCAUUUCUGCUGCCUGUUAAUUCUAUAGGUGAUGAACACUGGAGGAUGUCGUUCUCUAUCAAAAGAUCCCUAGAACUGAGUGUCAGGAUUGCAUGUGGGUCCUGAAGCGUACAUGUUAACCUCAUACCUAAUAGUAAUAUAUGACAGCUGGACCAUGUUGAUUUGCAACAAAACGCAAGCACGGUUCCAUUCACUCCAUUACUGAUUGUUAACAUAUCUUGUCCACCUACUCCCCAAAUCUACUCUGCUCCUUUUUGUUGGGCCUUUGAAUGUACCAUUAAAAUUAUGUAUUUUGA